GUAUGCGUUCAGGCUGGUCGGCCGUCAUGGUCUGUACCGUUUGGAUCAUACCCCACUGUAGGAUACUCACUACUGUCCUUAACUGGGUGGUAGUAAAAGGGUGUAGUAGUGGGGGCAACUUCACUAUUAUGCUUGGGGUUCCUACUCUUUUACUUUGAGCAAAUUAGAGUGUUCAAAGCAGGCAAUCGAGCCUUGAAUACUUCAGCAUGGGAUAAUGGAACAGGACUGGGAUCCUGAUUUCGUUGGUUUCUAGGGUCUUAGUA
This 263-nucleotide ribosomal RNA is filed under the name uncultured fungus. RNAcentral's name for it is "partial small subunit ribosomal RNA". The stretch from base 129 to 263 matches the Rfam family "Eukaryotic small subunit ribosomal RNA", at positions 731 to 864 of the family's 1831-position model. The record is from RNAcentral. Lineage: Eukaryota; Fungi.